CUGCACAGUUUGGACGGAGGCUGUCUAGAAGUCAAGUUGGCCUGUGUGUGAUUCAGUGAUACAACGUUGGACACUGCCUUCCCGUCCCGUGUGACUGUUGACUGACUCAACGAAACGAGGCUUCCAGAUUCCAGGUUCCAAAUUAUUAUCUGCGCCAACUGUUCAGGACCCCUCUGCUGAAGUGGAGGAUGACCAGGAGUAAGACUCAUGGAUACCACGGCUGGACCAUCGGCAGGAGGACCCCUCCGCUGAAGCGUAGGAUGACCUGGAGGAGGACGCAUGGAUACCACGGUCGGACCAUUGGCAGGAGG
Molecule: long non-coding RNA, 311 nt
Organism: Aplysia californica (California sea hare)
Lineage: Eukaryota; Metazoa; Mollusca; Gastropoda; Aplysiida; Aplysiidae
Exons: 3
Source: RefSeq, a predicted model, not a curated record